RNAcentral lists this transfer RNA (74 nucleotides) under Rhizomucor miehei CAU432. RNAcentral describes it as "tRNA-Arg (TCT) (tRNA-Arg-TCT-1-1)". It matches the Rfam family "tRNA". Rfam says of the family: Transfer RNA (tRNA) molecules are approximately 80 nucleotides in length. Lineage: Eukaryota; Fungi; Mucoromycota; Mucoromycetes; Mucorales; Lichtheimiaceae. The record is from RNAcentral.
GUUUCUCUUAGCUCAGUUGGUAGAGCGUCAGACUUCUAAUCUGAAGGCUGCCGAUUCGAGUCGGACAGAGAACC